GACGAACGCUGGCGGCGUACUUAACACAUGCAAGUCGAGCGGUAAGGCCCUUUCGGGGGUACACGAGCGGCGAACGGGUGAGUAACACGUGGGUGACCUGCCCUUAGCUCUGGGAUAAGCCUGGGAAACUGGGUCUAAUACCGGAUAUGACUCCAUGACGCAUGUUGUGGGGUGGAAAGCCUUGUGCGGCUAGGGAUGGGCCCGCGGCCUAUCAGCUUGUUGGUGGGGUGAUGGCCUACCAAGGCGACGACGGGUAGCCGGCCUGAGAGGGCGACCGGCCACACUGGGACUGAGACACGGCCCAGACUCCUACGGGAGGCAGCAGUGGGGAAUCUUGCGCAAUGGGCGAAAGCCUGACGCAGCGACGCCGCGUGAGGGAUGACGGCCUCGGUUGUAAC
This 398-nucleotide ribosomal RNA is filed under the name uncultured bacterium. Its description in RNAcentral is "bacterial SSU rRNA". It matches the Rfam family "Bacterial small subunit ribosomal RNA", at positions 28 to 429 of the family's 1533-position model. The record is from RNAcentral.